This 431-nucleotide ribosomal RNA is filed under the name uncultured bacterium. Its description in RNAcentral is "bacterial SSU rRNA". It matches the Rfam family "Bacterial small subunit ribosomal RNA", at positions 355 to 776 of the family's 1533-position model. The record is from RNAcentral.
UGAGGAAUAUUGCGCAAUGGGGGAAACCCUGACGCAGCGACGCCGUGUGAGCGAUGAAGGCCUUCGGGUCGUAAAGCUCUGUCAGAGGGAAAGAAAGGGCCGGAGGAAUAAUACCCUUCGGCAUUGACGGUACCCUCAGAGGAAGCACCGGCUAACUCCGUGCCAGCAGCCGCGGUAAUACGGAGGGUGCAAGUGUUAUUCGGAAUCACUGGGCGUAAAGAGCACGUAGGCGGAUUGGUAAGUCAGGUGUGAAAUCCCGGGGCUCAACUCCGGAACUGCAUUUGAUACUGCCAGUCUUGAGUGAGGUAGAGGGGAGUGGAAUUCCCGGUGUAGAGGUGAAAUUCGUAGAUAUCGGGAGGAACACCAGAGGCGAAGGCGACUCCCUGGGCCUCUACUGACGCUGAGGUGCGAAAGCGUGGGGAGCAAACAGG